RNAcentral lists this long non-coding RNA (1587 nucleotides) under Prunus persica (peach). Its description in RNAcentral is "long non-coding RNA (PPER_LNC006149)". The record is from RNAcentral. Lineage: Eukaryota; Viridiplantae; Streptophyta; Magnoliopsida; Rosales; Rosaceae.
CGGUAAACUAAAUUAAACUUAAAUUUAAACUUAAUGAAAAUUCAAUAACAAUGAAAAAGAAAGCGAUUGAAAUAAACUUGAAUUUAAAUGACAUGGUAAUGUAAAUUGCAAGAAUUUAAACUUACACUAAGGAAAGGAAGAACUUGCUAUACUAGGUGCUUGAAAAGUAAAAUUCUAAGUCUAAGAAAAGAAAAGUGCGAGACGAAAAAUAGGUUUGUGUGUCUAAUGAUGUGUCUUCUGCCUUUGUUUGGUGAAGUUUAUAUAGGCGUCCAUUGGCCAUGGGCUGGCCAUUGAAUGGCUAAAUGUCAACUCUUUCAAAAUUCUUUCCUUUCGAGGCACCCUAAAUCCGUGGGAUUUCUUUGAUGGAGAUAUUUUGAUUGCUUGAUUAUCUCUUGCUUUGGAAUAUUCUAAAAUUUCAUCAACCUUCUUGAUUUCUUUCCUUGUGAGGCCUCUGCCACCUGCAUACACUCUUCCAGCACGAAUCCAUGGCUUCGGCUUUGCCCUCUAGGAUCAUUGGAAUUAUAUGGGAUUGACCCUCAUGACCUUUGAGAUCUUGAGUUCUAAAUGCCCAAAUUACUUUCAAACCUCCAACCUUAUUAAAUGGCCACUCACUUUCAUUAUUAUAUAUACAUAUAUAUAUAUAUAUAAACUAAAGAGGACUCCAACUAAAAGCCCUCCAGCCAUACUUUUCCAGCCGCAUAUCUUUUGCCCAAAUCUUUUCAAACCAGCUGCAAUGUUACAGCCCCUCAGAGCUACAAACCGGUUGCAUUGAGUGCAGCCCGGAUUUCUUCAGCCCAGCACUAGCUCUUGGUUUUGACCGCUCCAUCUCCAACGACCCCGGCCUCUGGAAGCCCAAUUGCAACUCCUCUCGAUUCCAACCGUAGCUCCUUUUGAUUCCAAUCACUCCAAGCUAGCAACCACUCUAGCUUCCAGCCACUGCAAACCCGGCCACCAAGCUCCAACACCCUAGGUUACUUAUCUCAAUUUCGACCGUAACACCUAGAGACCCAACUGCCAAACUUCACGCCCGGCUACUCUUCUCGAAAACUUCAAGACCCGGCCACCAAACUUCUCCAAGCCCGGCAGCCUUCAACUCGGUCGCCAAACUUCCCCAAGCCCGGCCGCCAUUUCUCCAAAACUCUAAGACCCAGCCGCCAAACUUUUUCAAGGAGAGAUCCGAGCACUUUCACAUUUUUGUGGGUAUAUCUGUUUUGCCCAAUCUUUGCUAGAGGAGUGCUCGGUUUUUGAAGAGAGAGGGAAGCCUGGAUCUUUGUGCUUUCAAAGGGUGCUCGGGUUAGGUGAUUUUUCACCAACCCCAAACAGUUUGCUAGGGUGGCUUUUGAAGUUUGUUUAGGUUAAUUAAGUGUUGGGCUAGUUUAGCCCACAUGACUGUGUUUUUACUUAUAUUUUUAGUUUUGGCUAGGCAUGUCUUUACUUCUCUGAUUUUCCUUAUUUUGUUUUGUGUAGGGCAAUGUAUAAAAUAUCGAGGGUUUUGGAAAUAUCGGUGGUCCAAAAACACGGAUAUAUCGAUAGAAAUAUCGAGAAAAUAUCCAUAUCGGUAAAAAUUGAAUAAAAACUAGGGUUGGC